CUUUUCCCCACAAGCCCGUGAACUAAGAUGAACUGCACUUGUUUGGAACUUAACUUUGCUUAUUCAGAGAUUAAACCCCGUUGUCAGCCUGUAAAAUCUAUAUUGCAAAAGCACUGAUAAAGAACACUUCCUUCUUCCAUGCAGCACUUUUGUCAAGCCAUCUCUGCUCUGGCCAGAUAAAUCACAUUACACAGGGAGAAGGCAAAUCUACCCAACUACAGCACAAAUCUGGGGAAAAAACAAAUCAAUUGUAUGAAAGAGUCCUCAUGAAUGAAGACAAGGAACCAUUGGCCUGACUCACAUCUCAAUGCAUUUUCCAGUGAAGAGCUGUAAAGGACCUCAGAGGAAAAACCUGUCAAAUCAAGAAGAGAUUUUUAUUUUUUUUUAAUAGAAAUAUAGGUCUAAUUGUACAGCGUGAUUCUGGCAGCAAUUUUAGCUGAAAUUUAGAAAUUUCUAGCGAUUUGCACCUAACAUAAUAAACUUGUCCUUACUUUAAAGACCA
Molecule: long non-coding RNA, 502 nt
Filed under: Cyanistes caeruleus (blue tit)
Lineage: Eukaryota; Metazoa; Chordata; Aves; Passeriformes; Paridae
Description: lncRNA (ENSCCEG00000003910.1)
Source: RNAcentral